Molecule: ribosomal RNA, 253 nt
Filed under: uncultured bacterium
Lineage: Bacteria
Description: partial 16S ribosomal RNA
Rfam family: Bacterial small subunit ribosomal RNA
Source: RNAcentral
GACAGAGGGUGCAAACGUUGCUCGGAAUUACUGGGCGUAAAGCGCGUGUAGGUGGAUUGGUGUGUCAGAUGUGAAAGCCCUGGGCUCAACCCAGGAACUGCACCUGAAACUACCAGUCUUGAGUGGUGGAGAGGGGAGUGGAAUUCCUGGUGUAGAGGUGAAAUUCGUAGAUAUCAGGAGGAACACCAGUGGCGAAGGCGGCUUCCUGGACACCAACUGACGCUGAGACGCGAAAGCGUGGGGAGCAAACAGG